GUCCACGUUGUUAACACUUUGAAAAUCAUGUGUUGCUGACAUUAGUGUUCCUGGAAGAAGAGUGGAAUGUACAGAAUUUGGGAUUCCAUCACCAGAAAACUAUGGGUCAAGGAAGUCAUUUUCACAAAGCUAAGGAGCUGUGGUUCACUUGUGGAGUGAAUUUGCAUGAGGACUUCUUUUUUACAAGGAGGUGCAUGAAGAUACUGGUUUCUUA
Molecule: long non-coding RNA, 214 nt
Organism: Strigops habroptila (Kakapo)
Lineage: Eukaryota; Metazoa; Chordata; Aves; Psittaciformes; Psittacidae
Exons: 3
Source: RefSeq, a predicted model, not a curated record